AUGCUUAGCACAUAUACUAAAAUUAGAACAAUGCAGAGAAGAUUAGCAUGGCCUCUGUGGAAGGAUGACACACAAAUUCAUGAUGCAUUCCAUAUUAAA
Molecule: small nuclear RNA, 99 nt
Organism: Otolemur garnettii (small-eared galago)
Lineage: Eukaryota; Metazoa; Chordata; Mammalia; Primates; Galagidae
Source: Ensembl